Long non-coding RNA from Triticum dicoccoides, 1089 nucleotides. RefSeq lists it as uncharacterized. The transcript is spliced from 3 exons. Lineage: Eukaryota; Viridiplantae; Streptophyta; Magnoliopsida; Poales; Poaceae. The record is from RefSeq and is a predicted model, not a curated record.
UGCUCAUCCCCCGUGCUACUAAUUCGCUUUAAUUAGAAGGAAAAAAUACAUGCAAAAUCUGAACAGAAACCGUGGUCGCUGCUCCGAUUUUUCUGGCUGCGGCGGCGGCUCACAUGAAUAUGCGGCGGCGGCCAAGAGUAGCUCGGCCGGGACGCCCAUCUUCUCACCGGCCAAUGGCGCUGACGUGACUGACCAGUGACUAGGUUGUUUUUCGGCACGGUGCACUCACUUUAGUGGAGCCUUGUUCUUUUUCCGUUGAUAUUGAAUCCUGCUCCAAGUCUCUAACCGCAAGUAGCUGCUUUUGAAGUCCACCAAUCACAUGCGAGGUUAUGCCAGGAACCACCAGUCCACCACAGAUCUAGUAUGUGGGACGACAGGGUUGUAUCUCCUUGUACAGGUUGGCAACUCUUUCUCUUCUAAUGUUUAUAGGUUCAAUCGAACAUGAGGAUGCCUUCUAUUCCCAUAUGUGCCACAUGUAAAUAGGUCCAAAAUUCAGAUUUGGGGAUUUUUCUUCUGUUCACGGUUAGUGUGAAUUUAGUUCCAAAUUCUGGUAAACAAUUGGGGAUGCCAUCCGAUUGUAUUUAGGUGCACUUCAAUGAAUCAAUGCCAUCCGAUCUGUUUUGUACAUGCAGGGUGUGUGUCUUUGGAUACAUUACGUCGUCGUUGCCGCCGCCGCAGCCGUCCAUGUGCGGUGGAGCGGCCAUGGUGAAGUUUCAUGCAUGCGCGACGAGUGAUCCGACUCGCCCAAUCUCACCUGCAGCUGCAGUGUCGCAGCCCUCCCUCGGGUCUGCUCUCUCCCAAGUCUGCACACGCCAUGGAUAUAUGAUGUCAGAUUGAAGAACACAUGAUCAAUCACCAUGGAUCUCCUAGCUACCGAUGGUGCCUGUUUGAUCCACGCCCUAUAAUAUACUGCGUGCAUGCCAUUAAUUUGCUAGUACGUACACACGAGAAACAGUUGGUAGCUUCCUUUGCACCCAUAUAAUCAAGUCAUGUUUCUUAUUGAUGAUGAUGUAUAUAUUCCCUGCAAAAAUAAUGAUGAUGUAUAUGUACUCCUUCUGAUGCAUAUGAACUUAUGAACUUACUUUUCAU